GAUGAAGAACGCAGCGAAAUGCGAUACGUAAUGUGAAUUGCAGAAUUCAGUGAAUCAUCGAAUCUUUGAACGCAUAUUGCGCUCUCUGGUAUUCCGGAGAGCAUGCUUGUUUGAGUAUCAGUAAACACCUCAACUUCCAUAUCUUUUUUUGAAAUGGGAGUUGGACUUGAGUGAUCCCAACGCUUUUCCUCACCGAAAAGUGGCGGGUUACUUGAAAUGCAGGUGCGGCUGGACUUUUCUCUGAGCUAUAAGCAUAUCUAUUUAGUCUGCCUAAAAAACAGAUUAUUACCUUUGCUGCAGCUAACAUAAAGGAGAUUAGUUCUUGUGCUGACUGAUGCAGGAUUCACAAAGACAGCUUCGGCCGACUUUGUAAACUCGAUCUCAAAUCAAGUAAGACUACCCGCUGAACUUAAGCAUAUCAAUAAGCGGAGGA
RNAcentral lists this unclassified non-coding RNA (433 nucleotides) under soil metagenome. RNAcentral's name for it is "partial contains 5.8S ribosomal RNA, internal transcribed spacer 2, and large subunit ribosomal RNA". The stretch from base 1 to 120 matches the Rfam family "5.8S ribosomal RNA", at positions 35 to 154 of the family's 154-position model. The record is from RNAcentral.